Non-coding RNA from Cladorrhinum samala, 131 nucleotides. Lineage: Eukaryota; Fungi; Ascomycota; Sordariomycetes; Sordariales; Podosporaceae. The record is from the annotation of a GenBank genome assembly.
GGCAACUUGGCCGAGCGGUCUAAGGCGCCACGUUAAGGAACAUCCUUGAUAACAGAUUCUCCUCUUUCUCCUUGGGAAGAAAAUGAAUUCCGUGGUCCGAAAGGGCGUGAGUUCGAAUCUCACAGUUGUCA